RNAcentral lists this ribosomal RNA (253 nucleotides) under uncultured bacterium. RNAcentral's name for it is "partial 16S ribosomal RNA". It matches the Rfam family "Bacterial small subunit ribosomal RNA", at positions 524 to 776 of the family's 1533-position model. The record is from RNAcentral.
UACGGAGGGCCCAAGCGUUGUUCGGAUUCAUUGGGCGUAAAGGGUGCGUAGGUGGUGCCGUAAGUCAGGUGUGAAAUCUCGGGGCUCAACCCCGAAACUGCACUUGAUACUGCGGUGCUCGAGGACUGGAGAGGAGAUUGGAAUUCAUGGUGUAGCAGUGAAAUGCGUAGAUAUCAUGAGGAAGACCAGUGGCGAAGGCGGAUCUCUGGACAGUUCCUGACACUGAGGCACGAAGGCCAGGGGAGCAAACAGG